This 156-nucleotide unclassified non-coding RNA is filed under the name uncultured Chaetosphaeriaceae. RNAcentral describes it as "sequence contains ITS1". Lineage: Eukaryota; Fungi; Ascomycota; Sordariomycetes; Chaetosphaeriales; Chaetosphaeriaceae. The record is from RNAcentral.
AUAGAGAGUGAAAGCUCCCUAAACCCACUGUAAACUUACCUGUUCGUUGCUUCGGCAGGCGGCCCCAGGGCGGGGCUGUAGCCUGUAAAAAGGCGCCUGCCGGAGGUAUCAAACUCUGCUGUAACUGCUGUCCGAGUCCACUAUAAAAACAAAUCA